GGGGGAGUGUCCCGAGCCUGGCCAAAGGGGCAGGACUUAAGAUCCUGCGGCUUUGUGCCUUCGAGGGUUCAAAUCCCUCCUCCCCCA
Molecule: transfer RNA, 87 nt
Filed under: Microcaldota archaeon
Lineage: Archaea; Nanobdellati; Microcaldota
Description: tRNA-Leu
Rfam family: tRNA
About the family: Transfer RNA (tRNA) molecules are approximately 80 nucleotides in length. Their secondary structure includes four short double-helical elements and three loops (D, anti-codon, and T loops).
Source: RNAcentral